RNAcentral lists this ribosomal RNA (294 nucleotides) under Triticum aestivum (bread wheat). RNAcentral describes it as "partial small subunit ribosomal RNA". Lineage: Eukaryota; Viridiplantae; Streptophyta; Magnoliopsida; Poales; Poaceae. The record is from RNAcentral.
AUGCAGCGCAAAUGGAGAGUUCCAAACAAUGGAAAGAAGUGGCAGGCUUUGGCUGAGUUUGCAGCCAGCCUCAUCCACCCAUCGUACAAGGAAAUGAAGCAGAAGAUCAACAAGAAAUUGGACCACAAACUAUGGGGGGACAGCCCACUGCCAAACAACCUCAUCGAGUACGCAGCGAAAGAUGCGUACGUCACCUACGAGGCAUGGAAGAAAAUCGAAAUCGUCAAAGAAGGUUUGAAGUACUGGCAAGAGGCUGAGGAUCAUUGGGAUGACCCCUACUACUGGGGAUAUUGA